RNAcentral lists this unclassified non-coding RNA (344 nucleotides) under Hevea brasiliensis (rubber tree). Lineage: Eukaryota; Viridiplantae; Streptophyta; Magnoliopsida; Malpighiales; Euphorbiaceae. The record is from RNAcentral.
GUGGUUUGCAUAAAAAUUAGAAAAUAGCUUACAAAUGAAAAUAUGUCCAAACUUCAAAGAAGAGAGUAUUGAAAAUUCCCAAGGUAGCAUAAACUAAGAUGCUUGCUUACUCUUGACAAUAUUGCUUGUUGCAUGCCACAGUUACUUUUGAGUUCCAUAUUUUAUCACAAGUGCAAUAUGUUCAAUUGAAAAAGUUUUUGCAUUCUAGAAUUCACAUAUCAAGAAAAUUGUGUUCAGUUGGUUGAAAUUGUUUUUUGUAUAUUGUAGUUGCACUAUUAUUGCCAAAUGCUAAACUGGAUGCUGGUUCUAACUAAGAUUACCAUUGUUUUUAUUUAUUUAUUUAU